This 251-nucleotide ribosomal RNA is filed under the name uncultured bacterium. Its description in RNAcentral is "partial 16S ribosomal RNA". It matches the Rfam family "Bacterial small subunit ribosomal RNA", at positions 524 to 775 of the family's 1533-position model. The record is from RNAcentral.
CACGUAGGGGGCAAGCGUUGUCCGGAAUCAUUGGGCGUAAAGCGCACGUAGGCGGCUUUUUAAGUCAGGGGUGAAAUCCUGGAGCUCAACUCCAGAACUGCCUUUGAUACUGAGAGCUUGAGUCCGGGAGAGGUGAGUGGAACUGCGAGUGUAGAGGUGAAAUUCGUAGAUAUUCGCAAGAACACCAGUGGCGAAGGCGGCUCACUGGCCCGGUACUGACGCUGAGGUGCGAAAGCGUGGGGAGCAACAGG